UGUUAAAAGUUUAAUCUAUUUAUAUUGUUAAAAAUUGACAUUAACGAAAUAACCAAACAAUAACACGUGAUGUGACACUUGUACCUCGUAUUGAUGGCAUGAACCGGUUUUUAAUAGUAGAAAUGAAUAAAAUUUUUAAUA
RNAcentral lists this microRNA precursor (141 nucleotides) under Gossypium hirsutum (cotton). Its description in RNAcentral is "MIR7502 microRNA precursor family". It matches the Rfam family "MIR7502 microRNA precursor family". The record is from Rfam by way of RNAcentral. Lineage: Eukaryota; Viridiplantae; Streptophyta; Magnoliopsida; Malvales; Malvaceae.